Molecule: long non-coding RNA, 144 nt
Organism: Sapajus apella (tufted capuchin)
Lineage: Eukaryota; Metazoa; Chordata; Mammalia; Primates; Cebidae
Exons: 3
Source: RefSeq, a predicted model, not a curated record
UCUGAUGAAGUGACAGAAGCAGGCUUCAGAAGAUGGGUAAUAACAAUCUGACCUAAAAGAACAUGUUCUAACCCAGCGCAAAGAAACUAGGAACCUUGAGCAAAGGUUACAGGAAAUUGUAACUAGAAUGGGCAGCAUAGAGAG